Molecule: long non-coding RNA, 318 nt
Organism: Neopelma chrysocephalum (saffron-crested tyrant-manakin)
Lineage: Eukaryota; Metazoa; Chordata; Aves; Passeriformes; Pipridae
Exons: 3
Source: RefSeq, a predicted model, not a curated record
GCAGUUCUGAUCCCUCCUGCCUGUUUCAACAGGUGUGGUAAAUCUUGCAAAUUUACCUCUUCUGUGCAAAUAGUGGCCUUUUUGCUACACCUGAGCUGAGAUGAGCAGCUAUCAGAGCAAAGAUGAGCUUGACUGCCUGCUCAGGUGGAAGAUCCAACCCUGGAGAGACACUUCAAAGGCCACAGAGAUGCUGUCACUAGCGUGGACUUCAGUCUCAAUAAGAAACAAUUGGCUGUUGCAUGUCCAGGCUCUUGGAAAUGAAUUGUCUGUCCGAGGCAAUGCAUGGCUGGCCUUGUUUUGUUUGAAUUGCUAAUGAAA